GCAAUUUAAUGAUGCAGUAAAACAUGCGUAAGUCAAUGCAAGGCGGGUGCCCAGGUUAAUAACCACAAUUCACAAAGAUAUGAUAGUGACUGCAACCAAGAAGUUGCUGACACGAAACCACAGUGAUGGCGAGGAUCUUCCUUACAAGGAUAAUGCACCAAGCCAUGCAGCACAGUUCAGACAACUUGAGAUAGGCCUGCUAGACUUUGUAUCGCCGAACACCUACCGUACUUGCCCGAUCUAACGCACAAGUGUAGAAAAUACGACACAUUCGAUAAUCGGGCAGGUGAAAUGCUGAUAGAGUGGCCACCGGUUACUUUUACUUAGAUAAUGGUGCGAGGGUGUAUUCGAUCAAUGGGUACACAUAUACACGUAUGUUGAUAGAGGCAGAGACUGUAUUGUAAAGAGUUAAAUCCCAACGUAAGACUUCGCGAUAACCUGCCCCGCAUCCAGUACCCCUACCUUUCCCCGAAACCUUCAGAAUCCGACCCAGACGAGAUACAGAUUUGAAAAUUAGUGCACAUGUGCAAU
RNAcentral lists this small RNA (531 nucleotides) under Spisula solidissima (Atlantic surf clam). RNAcentral describes it as "cnRNA107". Lineage: Eukaryota; Metazoa; Mollusca; Bivalvia; Venerida; Mactridae. The record is from RNAcentral.